RNAcentral lists this ribosomal RNA (249 nucleotides) under uncultured bacterium. Its description in RNAcentral is "partial 16S ribosomal RNA". It matches the Rfam family "Bacterial small subunit ribosomal RNA", at positions 1251 to 1500 of the family's 1533-position model. The record is from RNAcentral.
AAAGCAGUGAUGCAGAGCAAAUCCCCAAAAGCAGUCUUAGUUCGGAUUGUAGGCUGCAACUCGCCUACAUGAAGCUGGAAUCGCUAGUAAUCGCGGAUCAGAAUGCCGCGGUGAAUACGUUCCCGGGUCUUGUACACACCGCCCGUCACACCAUGGGAGUCGGAAAUGCCCGAAGUCUGUGACCCAACCUACGGGAGGGAGCAGCCGAAGGCAGGUCGGAUGACUGGGGUGAAGUCGUAACAAGGUACC